This 234-nucleotide long non-coding RNA is filed under the name Capsicum annuum. RNAcentral's name for it is "long non-coding RNA (CANN_LNC001779)". The record is from RNAcentral. Lineage: Eukaryota; Viridiplantae; Streptophyta; Magnoliopsida; Solanales; Solanaceae.
GUAAACUAGGCCGUCAGUAGCGUAUUUCUCGAAGGUAGGCAUAGUUGGAUUUUCGAGGACUGUUAGUGGCGUAUUUCUCAAACGAAGAAAUAUUUGAAUUUGAUCUCCAUGAAAGGAGGGUUAAUGGAUCUUCUUGAUAUAUUUGAUUAUCAAGAAUAAGAUGAUUUUGAUCUCUUUAUAAAUAUCCCAUGAAUUUCUGAGAUAUUUGAGAUCUUGGAGAUGUUGUGAAUUUAU